Molecule: long non-coding RNA, 41065 nt
Filed under: Panax ginseng (ginseng)
Lineage: Eukaryota; Viridiplantae; Streptophyta; Magnoliopsida; Apiales; Araliaceae
Description: long non-coding RNA (PGIN_LNC016022)
Source: RNAcentral
GCAAUUCUACACAAUAUACAACAUCAAAUCAUAAAGUAAGUGAAAGUGAUAAUGAUAUUAAUUUCAUUAGUUCCAUAAAUUUCGAUAAGUCCUUCACACAACAAUACAUCAUAAUUCCCAUGCAUACCCACAGAGCAGAGAACAUAGUUACACAAAAGGACUAAGUUGCCUAAGCAAACAAGUCCAGGAGUUGAACUGGAUAAUUACUAAUAGCUCCUUAUUAUACAAAUUAAUUAUAACAUGGUUUCAAACAGGAAGACAAAAUUACAGCUACUAGAUGCUUUAUUUGGUAAUGGUCAGUCCAUUAAUAUGAUCAUCUCUUCAACAGUUGCAAGGAUUGCAUGUGCAGUUUGAUCCACACUUGCAGGCAUGCCCUCCUUCAGCUCCAAAACUCAUCUUUGAAUCCUCAGAGGACCUGCAGUAUUGGAAGCCAAUUAUGACAAAAAUGAACGGAUAAAAAGAUCUAGAAUACAUUUUGCAUCAAUGAUCUGGAGUACAGCUGUGUAUAUCUUAUUUGUGAACAGUCUGCAAAAAUUACGUAGUUUUGGCAGAUUUGUGUUUUAAAAAAAAAAAAAAUUAGUUUCUCUCCUCCCAAAUUAGAAAUCAAAAAAUAAACAUGCCAAAACUACAUAAUUUUAGCAGACUAUGCACAAAUAAAAUAUACACAGUUAUGUAUGACCAUUAUUGCCAUAUAUCCGAAUCAUAACAAAUAGUAUAACGAACUGGCUAUGACGACAGCUUUAUGUUCUAUGGCGACGGUCUAUGCUGUCUAUAUAUCCGAACCAUAACAAAUAGUAGCUAUAAGCCUUAACUGGUCACAAGAUCUUGCACUCUAAUGGUCAUAAUUUUCUAUAAAUUAACACUUUUCACAACAGUGUUGCGAAAUAACUAAACUACAUCAACGAAGUGUUGGAGUAGAGAAAAAUUAAUAAUUUCGAAUUUACAGUAAAACAACAUCCUCUCUGUAACACAGUAGUGUUGCGAUAGUUAAGUUGUUCCAUAUAUAUAUAUAUAUACACAUACAUCUUCGUUGGUGCAACCUCAUGAAUGAUGGUUGCAGCUGUGGUUUUCUCAACAUUAGGGUACAUUCCGCAUCUGCAAUCAAAGGUAACCAAAUUUAGACAAAAUUUAAGCAAUGGAAUUUGUUACAUUUAAUUCUUAGAAGUAUCUAUAAUUUACAAUUAGAGCUAAUAUUUCUAGCUCAAAUUAAAUCUAAUUUUCCAACAUAUAUAAUGCAAUACACAGUUGUAUCAUCUAUUUAAAAUUUUUACACCUGCGGUAAAAAUAUCAUUUCUAUAGACGUUUAUGAUGCCAUUUUUUCAUAAAAUUAAAGGAAAGGUUUACCCUCCGCAGCCGCUGUCGCACUUGCAGCCAGCACCACAGCCACAGUUUCCUCCACAACAAGACAUUUUUAAUUUCUUGGAAUGAAAACUAAAGAGAAUGAAUCAGAAAAUUGAGUCAAGCUGGUGAGUUCUUUGUUGGAGUCAUCAGUUUUAUUUAUAUUGCAGGGAAGAGACGGAAGGUGACCGUCCACCGUACACGUGUAUGAUACAUAGCGAAGUUGCAUUAAGUUACUGUUUGGUAAAAAUAGUGGACAGAUUGACUAUAAAAUAUCUUUUUCAUCUCUAUCUUUGUUUGAUUACACUCAUUUGUAGUAUCUAAUAUCUUAAAAUUUAAUUUGUGGCCUUAAUUUUAAUUUUUGAAAAAAUAAUUUAAAAUGUUUUUUAAUUAUUUUAUAAUAUUAACUAUUGUAUUACUUAACAUAAAAUAAAUUUACAUCAAUUUGGAAUUUUAAAACUUCAUAAAUUUAGGGAAUUAAUAUUUCUUCAAGGGAAAUUGAUAGUUCCACAAGACUUUCUACGUGAAAAGUAAAUGGAACUCACAUUCAUAUGAGUAAAACCAUGUGAAAAUAUCAAAUUUUCCUUGUUGAAAUAACAAUUCCCUAAAUUUACUAUAAAAAGAUGAUUCAUGUAAGGUAUUGAAAAAUUAUUUGUCGAAUUAUAAUUACGAAAUACUCCCUCCAUAAGUAACUUUUUAGAGGGUUUCACCCUUAUUAAGAAAGUCAUUUAUUACUCUAAUUUUGUCAUUAAAAUUGAUAUGUAUUACCACAAUUAUCCUUACAUUAAUUAAAGAAAUAUGUAUAAAGUUGUAUAGAUAAAUGAGAUAAUAGAAAAAUACUUGACGGCAAUAGAGGAAAAAUUUUAAUUAAUGCUUUCUAGAAAUUUGUUAACGUCAAAUAUAUUGAAAUUUUUUUCUUAUUUAGGAACGGAGGGAGUACAUUAAUAUAUGGAAUUUGAUACAAUUUAAAGAGUGGCCCAACAUUUUAAAAAAAAUAGUUGCAACUUAUUUUAUUUACAUAAUUGACAAUAAAUUCGUAAUGUAUAAUAUUCUUUCCGUUCCAAUAUUAGAAAUAUAAUUUGACUUUUGAGGUCAAACGACGAUAUAUUAAAUUUCAAAUUGAUGUGAAUUUAUUUAAUUUUAAUUAAUAUGGUAAUUAUAACCGUAUAGUAUAUAACAAAAACUAUUAAUUAUAAAAUUUAUUUUAUUCCGUCAUUUGACCAUAAAAAACAAAAAAAUCAAAAGAGUAUCAUUUUCAUAAAAACAAAUGAGAUUUUUUUAUGAACAAUGAUUAAGACUUUCUUUUUCCUUUUCUUUUAUAAUCCAAAACCUUAUCUAGUGCAUUGGGCCACUAAAUAAAAGAGGGAUUCCUUUACAGUAGAAAGUGAGAUUGGACGAUAUAUAAUAGAAGCUCUCUGGAACAAAGUUGCUUUAUACAAUGAAUGGAUCGGAACAAUCAAUUUAUUUUUUGUUUUAUUUAUUGUUAGGAUAUUUCAUAUUAAUCUUUUGAACCCGUUUCAAGUCAUGAUUACUAAUCAACCAAUUUUGGGGUAAACAAUCUCUAAUCCUUAUGUUUAUUUUCACUUAACUCUUGUACAUAGGAAAUGAGAUGGAGAAAUAGAAAGAACAUGUAUCACACGUGCAAAAUAUGAGAAAAUACCACACGAAUAUUCUACCCAAUUUCUUAUUUUACUAUGUUCAACUCUAUGUAUUCCUCUAUCCGUAGAGUACAUUGAAUGUACAGAAAUGGCUAUAACAGAGUUUUCUUGUUUUUUUACUUAUUUGUUUAUGAAUAUGAAUGCUUAAAGGCAUAUGCAUGAGACAUAAUCUAUUAAUUAAUCUGAAUCCAUUUCUUAAUCUAAAUUUAAAAGUGAGAUGAUCAGAUAAAUUUAAAAGUGAGAUGAGUUAAAUUUAAGAGUGAGAUGAGUUAAUUAGUAUGAUUGAGUCAAGGAUAUUAUAAUGUCAAAAUUGUAUAUUUGGGCUCGGCUGACCAAGACUAUUCCAAUUUAUUUACUUUGGGCGACAUAAUUAUAUAGUAUAUCUAGUAAAAAUAAAUAAAAAAUUAGACUAGGCUACAGUCCCAAAAGCCUACCAGUAACUCCGCCCCUAAUGGUAUCGUCUAUUCUAUUUUAUAAUUAAUUAUCAAACCUUACGUGCAUUUAAUUGUUUAAAAUAGACCUAAAAAUAUAGUCUAUUAUUGAAAUAGGAAGAGUUAUUACUAUUUGAUUUUAAAUUUGAUAUCCUGACAAUGUAAAUGUGAACAAUGCUAGAAUUAUAACACGUUAUUAAAAAAAAUUAUUCUAUUAAUGUGCCAUAAUCUUAACAUUAAGUAUAAACUUGCAACAUAUAAAACUUUAACUCUUACUAUUUAUAAAACAUCCAUUUAGUUUGAACAAAUUUGUAAACAUAUUUGGAUGGUGUGGUUUGAUAAUUAUAAAAAUUAAAGGAAAGUGUCAUCACAACUUGACAAAUUGGUAAUCAAAUUAGCAUUUUAAUCUUAAGCAAAAUUGGUGUUUAGAAAGAGAGGGAGAAUAUGAAAGUGAAUGGAUUCUUCAAUAAGGAGUUUCUUGUUCAAAAUGAAUAAUAGUCCUAUCAAACACUUUAUCUACAAAACUUCAUGGAUUCGACAUAUCGAAAUAAAGAAUUAAUAUUUUAACAUUAUUUUUUGAUAUUUUUACAUAUAGAACUCACAUACUAAUUAAUAAAAAUUCGACAUAUCAAAAAAUAAUGUAAAAAUAUUAAUUUUCAUAAAAUAUUUUAUCAGCUCUCAAAUUAUAUAGGCUCUACAUGUCUAAUCCUUAGUUGUGGGUCCAAAAUGGUCUUUAUCCUCCUAUAGUGGACUCCCUUUGAAUAUCAGUUAAACAGUGGACUAGUCUAAGGGUGAAUACAUCUAAAUGGCUGAAUCGGUUAGCCAUUAAACGUUUGUUUUGAAAAAAAAAUUAUCUGAAUGGUUGAAUCGGUCAGAUGAUUGAGCUAAAUGGCUAAGUCAAAUUUUUUUUGGCUGAAUGAGCAGCUGAAUAAGGUAAAAACAAUUAAAAAAUAUUAUCUAUUAUAUUAAGUAAUAUUAAAUAAAUUUAUAACAACUUUGAAUUUUUUCAGAGAGGUAAAAUAAUAAAAUUAUGUCAUUCAUAUAUUUCAGACAUAUUAAUUAUCAAACAAAUUUUUUUAUUCUGAUUCGGAUUCAACUCAUUCAGAUUCAGAUUCAGAUUCAUUCAAUUUUUAGCAAACACCUCCUAAAUAUCAUUGAACCAAGCUUUAAAAUUUCCUAACAAAGUCAUGGAAUUCUUAGGCUUACUUAGUCUAACUAAAUUCUACUUAGUAAUUUCUUAUUUAGUUAGAUUUUUUAACUUUUUUGGUUACGUUUUUCGUCACCGAUUCCAUUUUUUUGAAGAAACGUUAUGUUGUAAUUCGAAAAGUUAUAAAAACGAAAUUGCGUUUUUAGCGUGAAUAGUGUUUUUACCACUACAAGAAAGUAAGGCUAUAGCGACGGUACGAACCUGUCGCCAUAUGCUAUAUCAACGGUAGCCCACCGUAGCGGAUAGCGUUGCGGCCAUAUACCUAUGUCGACGUUAUGAUACCUCUAUGCUCGCCACACAAUUUUUGCCACUAAGCUUUAAUUAGAACCCAAAUGUCGACGAUCUCGUCUGACAGAUUCCCACUGUCGAUAAAAAGUGUUAUAGCGAUGGGGUUCUUCGGGGUUUAGGGUGCCCUAAGCCGACAAUAUUUACUGUCGCGUAGAGCUAAUGACACCUAUUAUUUAUAAAACUAUGGCGACGACCAUAUUACCGUCGACAUAUACCUUUCUAUUUCAAAAUCUAUUUGGCAGAUAGCUAUAAUAUACCUCACACAUCUAGACACCCUCAUAUCAGUCAACUGAGAUUCUCUACAAGACGCAUCACAAUUUUUUGAGACCCACAUACAUUUAUAUUUUCAGUUUUGGAGUAUGGGAAAUUGCUCAAACAAUUAACUGGAAUUAAAAUUUAGCCAACAUAAAGCCUGAAACAUUGUAAAGUUCAAACUAUCUCUCAAAAAAUAUGUUAAAUAUGACAAAAAUACAUCCUUACCAAGAUUGUAAACAUGACUGCCAAUCUGCAACUAUUCAAAACAUUGAUCUUAAAUUUUUUAACCUCACUGGUCCAAAAGGCAUAAACCUAAUUCCCAAUAUUCUGGGACUUGUUAAGGAUCACCCCGUCAUAUUUGACUUGGAACCAUUUCAUUGCAUCCUCUUUUGUAACCCUGUGAUGGAUUUCAACAUCGAUUUGCAUCUAUGGCGUGGUCCCACACGGUAACCCUGACGUUCAAGCACAAAAUAAAAAUUCAUACCGUAAAUGCCAGUGAAAGGAUCAUACCUGAAAAACAAAUAUAACUUGUUAAAAACUAAGAGAGAAGGAUAAAGACUAGUAGAACGCAUACUUAUCAGUACGACUGGCACAACCUGAUUACAAAAGCAUAGAGAUACAAAGCUUGUAUAUUGAGAUAUUAUAUGAUAUAUUGUGACUAAUAAUAUUAUGUGAAAAGAUACUUACUGUUAUUAAGAGAUAGAGCUAUAGGAGGCAUGAUUUAUGGGCAUGAUUUGUGGGCAUGAGUUAUGGGAUAAUAGUGAUGUUAGGCAUGAUUUGUGGGCUUGCACGACAAGUAUAGAAUUCCUGAAUAUACUUGGUCUCUUGUAAUAUUUAUAGGGGUGAAGGAUGAAUGAGAUGAGAGACAUAAAAAGAUUUUGAGGAGAACUUAUCAUGGUAUCAAAGCGAGAGGGAAUAUCCUAGGGAAAAUUAAACACAGUUUUUGUUUUCUUUUUCUCCUUCUUACAAAUCAAGCAUCAUAAAGGAUUAUGCCUAGUGGGGAUGAGAAGAACGGUGAGAACAGUGGUAAUGCCGAGAAGAAGGUUGACUUGACUUAUUUUCUUGGCCCAAGUGACAAUCUCGACAACGUGAUUACACCAAUCAAAUUGUGUGGUCCGAAUUAUGAUGAAUGGGCGAGGGCAAUUCGAACUUCGUUGCAAGCGAAGAGAAAAUACGGUUUUGUGGAAGGGAUAAUCUCAAAACCAACGACACUUGAGAAACUGGAGGACUAGAUUGCGGUACAUUUGAUGCUCAUUUUGUGGUUGCUCAACACUAUUGAGCCCUCAUUACGUUCUACUCUUUCUUAUUAUGAUGAUGCGCAAUCCUUGUGGGUACAUCUCAAGAAGUGUUUUUGUGUUGUGAACGGGACUCGUAUAUGCCAAUUAAAGGCAUCUCUAGGAAAAUGCAAGCAAGGUAAAGAUGAAGAGGUGUCGAUCUACUUUGGCCGUCUAUCUCGUAUAUGGGAUGAACUUGUGACUUAUGUCAAAAUGUCGACUUGAAAAUGUGGAACAUGUGCGUGUGAUAUCAACAAACAAGUGAUUGAUUUGCGUGCCACAGAUUACCUACAUCAUUUUCUUAUUGGCCUCGAUGGGGUCUAUGCAAUGAUUCGCUCCAAUUUGAUUUCUCAAGAUCCUUUACCAACCAUUGAUCAAGCAUAUCAGCGCGGCGUACAAGAUGAGAGGCUAGUGCGAGGAGAGUCCUCAAAUCAUGAAAAUCAUGACAACAUCAUGGCUUUUCGACUUACAACCGAUGCGCGAGGUAAAUCUAAAUUUGUGAAUAACUAUGAAAAAUUAUGUACCCACUGCAACAGAGAAGGCCAUGACGAAAGCUCGUGUUUUCAACUUCAUGGGUUCCCCGAGUGGUGGGGGGGACCGUCCUCGAGGUGGACGUGGACCGGGUCGUGGCGGAACAACGACAGGACGAGCAGCUGGUCGUUCUGGAGGGCGUGGGAGAGGCACCCACAAUGCACCUGUGCGCGCCAACAAAGCAGCACCGGGUAGCAGUAGCAGCGAUGCUAAGGGUGGGCAGUCUCACGCACCACCAACCUCGAGUGAGGCAGCAGGUAUAUCAGGCAUUACUCCAGCACAGUGGCAACAAAUUCUUGAUGUUUUGAACAUUCCUAAACCCACGGAUCGUCUUCACGGUAAGAAUGACAUUGCUUGGAUUAUUGACACUGGAGCCUCAAACCAUGUGACAUGAAAUUUAAAUUGUUUGCUUAAUGUAAAAAAUAUUACCAACUGCCUGGUGGGGUUACCAGAUGGGAAAGGUGCGACUGCUACAAAGGAAGGAAGUGUGAUUUUGGAUGGUGGUUUGUGGCUCAAUAAUGUUCUUUUUGUUCCUCAAUUAACUUGCAAUCUAAUUUCUAUAACACAAUUAAUCGAUGACUCCAAUUGUAUCGUUCAAAUCACUAAUGCAUUGUGUGUAAUACAGGACCGGACGACAAGGACAUUGAUUGGAGUGGGUGAACGGACCGAUGGACUUUACUUUUUCUGGGGUAUUCCGAGGGUGCGUGCUUUGGCGAUGGAAGGGGAUUCAUCUAUGUCUUUGUGGCAUAAACGCUUGGGUCAUCCGUCAGAUAAGGUGUUAAGGUUCAUCCCUAAUGUGAGUCAGUUUAGUAGAAGCAAGAAUAAAAGAGCAUGUGAUGUAUGUCCACGUGCUAAGAAACAUAGAGAUAGUUUUUCUUUAAGUGCGAAUAAUACAAGUGGUUUGUUUGACUUAGUUCAUUGUGAACUAUUGGGACCUUAUCAAACUCAUUCCUCAUGUAGGGCGAAAUAUUUCUUGACAAUUGUCGAUGAUUAUUCGCGUGCUGUUUGGGUUUAUUUAUUAUGCAAUAAAACCGAGAUUGCGACCAUGUUUAUGAACUUUGUUGCUUUGGUUGAUAAACAAUUUGAUAAGAAAAUGAAGAAAGUAAGAAGUGACAACGGCACAUAAUUUAAUUGUCUACGUGAUUAUUUUUUUAAGAAUGGGAUUAUGUUUGAGACGUCCUGUGUGGGCACUCCACAACAAAAUGGGCGAGUUGAAAGAAAAUAUCAACAUAUUAUGAAUGUGGCACGGGCACUUAGAUUUCAGGGUCAUUUACCAAUGCAAUUUUGGGGAGAAUGCGUGUUAGCAGCGUGUUAUUUAAUUAAUCGAACACCGUCUAGUGUGCUUAAUUAUAUGACACCUUAUGAAAAAUUAUUUGGUAAAAUCCCUAAAUUUGAUAACAUGAAAAUUUUUGGUCGCCUAUGUUAUGCCUAUAAUCAAAGACGUGACGGGGGAUAAAUUUGCAAGUAAAAGUCAAAAGUGCAUAUCUGUGGGGUAUCCCUAUGGGAAAAAGGGAUGGAAAUUGUACGAUUUGGAAUCACAAGAAUUCGUUGUCUCAAGAGAUGUAAAAUUUUUUGAACAUGAAUUUCCAUUCGUUGUGCAACAAGACCUAACAUACUCUACUACUCAAAUUAAUUCUGACAUCGAGUAUGCUGAUGAUGAUAUGGAUUGGGUGAAUUAUGAUGCAUCUCUUGGAGGGGGGUUGCAUCUGUGGGCUUACAAGGAGAUGAACACAUGGUUGAUAGUGCUGAUAUUGUGGUGGUGCAAGAAGACGAUAUAGAGCCCGGAGAGCCAAAGGUGGUUGUUGCAAGAGAGGAAGGGCCUGACGCAAGAAUGGGCAGAGGGAUGAGAGACAAAAUUCCAUCGACAAAAUAUAAGGACUUUAUCACUCAUGCAAUUCGGAAAGUAAAGUCCUCGGACAGUUCAUCUGCCCAAUAACAUGCCUCAGGUACUCCUUAUCCAAUUACUAACUUUGUAUCUUGCGAACGAUUUUCUGCUAGACAUCAAAACUUUGUUGCAGUUGUGACAACAGGGAAAGAACCUAAGAAUUUUAAGGAAGCCAUCGCACAUUAUGGGUGGCGUGAUGCAAUGGGCAUCGAGAUACGAGCCUUGGAAGAUAAUAAGACAUCGGUCCUGGAGAAACUACCGCCCGGGAAGAAAGCACCCGGAAGUAAAUGGGUGUACCGAAUAAAAUAUCACUCAGAUAGGAGCAUAGAACGAUUGAAAGAGAGACUUGUUAUAUUCAGCCAUCAUCAAAUAGAGGGAAUAGACUAUGAUGAAACAUUUGCCCCGGUGGCAAAAAUGGUGAUUGUUCGUAAAUUCUUGGCAGUGGCGGCAAUUAAAAAAUAGAAAGUCUAUCAAAUGGAUGUGCACAAUGCUUUUCUCCAUGGUGACUUGGAUGAGGAGGUGUACAUGAAAUUUCCUCCAGGUUUUAAAAACACUAACCCCAAUUUAGUUUGUAGGUUGAAAAAGUCACUAUAUGGGUUGAAACAGGUUCCCCGGUGUUGGUUUGCUAAACUAGCUGCAUCAUUGAAGCAAUAUGGAUUUGCUCAAUCUUACUCUGACUAUUAUUCUCUUUUUACGUUGCACAAGGGAGAGAUACAAAUCAAUGUGUUAGUUUAUGUGGACGAUUUAAUCAUUGCAGGAAAUGAUAUUACGGCCCUGAAAAUAUUUUCAUAUGAAGGAUUUGGGAGACUUCAAAUAUUUUUUGGGGAUAGAAGUAGGCCGAAGUCCUGAGGGAAUUUAUCUUUGUCAGCGAAAAUAUGUAUUGGAAAUUAUUACAGAAACAGGCUUGUUGGGAGCAAAGCCAGUCGAAUUUCCAGUGGAACAACAUCAUAAAUUGGCAUUCGCCAAAUGUGCGUUACUCGAGAAUUUGGAGCCCUAUCAAAGACUUAUAGGGCAGUUGAUUUACUUAUUUGUGACUAGGCCUGAUCUUGCGUAUUCUGUCCAUAUUUUGUCUCAGUUCAUGCAACAUCCUCGUGAAGAACAUUGGGAGGCGGCCUUGAGGGUGGUUAGAUACUUGAAGAAAAAAUUGGGCCAAGGCAUUCUGCUUAGGUCUGAUAGUCGAUUGAACUUAAAAGGAUGGUGUGAUUCGGAUUGGGCUAGUUGUCCACUUACGAGACGUUCUUUGACAGGAUGGUUGGUGUUACUUGGUCUUUCCCCGGUGUCUUGGAAUGCUAAAAAACAACCAACCGUGUCACGCUCUUCUGCAGAAGCUGAGUACCGAUCUAUGGCAACGACUACAUGUGAGUUAAAAUGGCUCAAACAACUACUGGGUGAUUUGGGAGUUAGUCAUCCUAAAGGGAUGCGUUUAUAUUGUGACAGUUAAUCCGCUUUACAUAUUGCUCAGAAUCCAGUGUUUCAUGAGCGCACGAAGCAUAUUGAAGUCGAUUGCCAUUUCGUUCGCGAUGCGGUUACGAAAGGAGUUAUUUAUCCCUCGUAUGUUCCUACAAUGGUGCAAUUAGCAGAUAUUUUUACAAAAGCCUGGGGAAAGGCGCAAUUUGAAUUUCUCCUUCGCAAGUUGGGCAUUCGAGAUCUUCAUGCUCCCACUUGAGGGGGGUAUUGAGAUAUUAUAUGAUAUAUUAUGACUAAUAAUAUUAUGUAAAAAGAUACUUCCUGUUAUUAAGAGAUAAAGCUAUAGGAGGCAUGAUUUAUGGGCAUGAUUUGUGGGCAUGAGUUAUGGGAUAAUAGUGAUGUUAGGCAUGAUUUGUGGGCUUGCACGCCAAGUAUAGAAUUCCUGAAUAUACUAGGUCUCUUGUAAUAUUUAUAGGGGUGAAGGAUGAAUGAGAUGAGACACAAAAAAAGAUUUUGAGGAGAACUUAUCAAGUGAUCAAAUAUGUACAUAAAAUUAACAUGUAAGGAAUAUCCUAAAUAAAUGAAAAGCUUGUAAGUGAUCAAAUAUAUACAUAAAACUAAUUAUUAUUUUAAUUUAUUUGCUUACUCCUAAAACUCCACUUAGAAAGAAAUAGAGGAAGUAUAUAUAUAUCCACUUGUUACGAAUUUCGAGUCUCCAUACGAAAACUUGCUUGAAGAUAGGUCGUAUGCCAACCUGAAUUUUAGACAGCACCAUUAAAUAUAAAAGACAUGCCUCCUUUGCACCAUUUGUAGCAGGAGGAGCUCCUAUUGACACAAACUCACGAAAAAACAGGAACCAUUUCAUAAAGCCCUCGAGUACUUGCAUGUAUAUAUAAACUUGUAUACAGUGGAGGGUAUUGACUACUCUCAUGUUUGGCUUGUAGGCUUCUUCAUUCUUCAAUUUCCAGUUUCUCAUUUCCUUUAAUAAAGUUGUGUAGAACAUGCAAGCAUUUGGGAGGCUUAAAAUUCUCCUCAAUGAUUUGGGACACCCUAAUGUAUUAUUGCACACUUUUUCUGCAAAAAAAGAAGAAGAAUAUAUUACCUUUACUACAUAUAAAAUCAAUUAAUAAAUUUAUUAUCUAUCUAUUUUGUCUUUAAAUUUAUUAUACAUCGUAUUUACAAAACAAAAUGUAUGUAUAAUAUAAACGUAGUUAGUUAUGCAUAAUAUCACGGACGACAUCUCGAUCGGCUGAAUUUUUUUUUGAUUUUACUAUGCAAAUACUAUGCAUAAUAAAAUAUAAUAUACUCUAUUUUUUAUUAAAAAACAAAACUUAUUAUAAUAUAUAUAUUAUAAUAUAUAUAUAUAUANNNNNNNNNNNNNNNNNNNNNNNNNNNNNNNNNNNNNNNNNNNNNNNNNNNNNNNNNNNNNNNNNNNNNNNNNNNNNNNNNNNNNNNNNNNNNNNNNNNNAUAAUAAGCCAAAUUUACAACAAAUACUUCAUAAAAAUCUCCUCUAUUUAUCUCAAUUCACUUGGUUUCACAAAACAUAUUUUUGUACAACAAUUAUUCAUCAUUUAUAAAUUGCAAUAUUAACAACCAGAUCAUUCCCAAGAAACAGGAGGCUUUCCGAUAAGGAUUUCUCCCUAUUAGCGCGCAAUUAGGUGACCAAACCCCUUUCCUCGACAGAACUUUCUAGACAUUGUUAAUAAUGCAAAUAAUAAUAUAAAUAACUUCGUCGUCUCAAUUAUUGAUUUAAUAAUAUAAAAUAUUGUGACAAUAAUUAAAUCAAUAACGUGAGAUACUAUGCAGCAAUUAUUGUGGCAAUAAUUGAAUAAAAUGACUUCUCACGUAAGCAUCAAUAAUCAAUAUUGUGUGCUACUAUGCAACUACGCGUAUUACUGUACUUUUAUCACCGGGUAUUUCAACAGUUAACGAUAAAACUUUCGCCGUUAUUUUUAUAAAAAGAUAUUUCUGUCGUUUUCUAACUCCGACAAUAAUUCCGUUAUGAGGUUCACCAAUGAUUGUGCCGUCGUACGAAUAUUCCCUGUUAAAACUAAUAUUCCCCGACCAAUCGAAUAUUUUAUAACAACUUGCCUACUUUGCAAAAUUUAUAACUAUUACCCACAACUAUAACAUUAUAUCAAAUCCACACCAUAAUAUUUAAAAAUAUAUUUCGAGAAAAAUUAAUUUUUAUUCAUAAAAGUUGGGGUCUUACAACUUUUUUGACUCCCUUUUGAUUUGGAAGCUCGAAAGUCCUUAUGCUCAAUUUCUAUACUUUUAGUUGCAUUAGCCACCUGUGAUACGUCUGUAAAUAUAGUGUGGAUGAUCGUUCGACUAUACUCAUACUCCAAAGCCCAUUUGAAAUUUUCUAUUUGUUGUGCAACUGUCCCUACUAUUGAACCCACAAAAUAGGCCAAUCUAGUAAACCUCGCCAUGAAUCAGUAAUAAUCUCAUCCUCCUUCUGCCGAAUGGACACAAACUCCCUUGAGUAUGCAUCCUUAUCAGCAUUUGGGAAGUACUACUAAUAGAAAAUGUCACAAAAAUCACUCCAUAUGAGUGCAUCCAUCUUCUUGCAUAACAUUCAAUGAUUUUCACUAUCACUGAGCAUCAUUCUCUAGCUUAUAAACUGCUAGUCUCACGUUUUGAUUUUCUAAACACCCAAUCACAUAAAAACUCUUCUCCAAGUGGACGAUCCAGUUCUCCGCGCACCAAUCGAAGUCGAAGUUGAAUGAAAAGAUUUGGGCUUCUUCUUAAUAAACCUCUCCAACAACACAAAUAACGGCUGCACUGGUUGACCCACUUGAUCCUCGGGAGGAUCAUUUUGUUCAUGUUUUGGUAUCUCUACAUAAACCCCACACCAUUUGCACGAUGACUUCCUUGUACCUGCAAAAUACCUUGUGUAGCAUGUGUCACUGUUUGCAUAAUAGCCUCAUUCACCAUUGUUGCUACCACAGUCGGGGUUAUUGUUGCAUUACCCUGAGUCCCAACGUUUCCACCCUGGUCAACAACCUCAACCUAGGGCUGGCCUUGACCCCUCCUACCUUUAUUACCCUACCUUCUAGCAAUUCUCAAAGACCUACGAGCCAUCUAUAAUACAAAAUCAAACAAAGAAGAACAAACCGAGCAAAACAAAUAAUCGAAGCCAAAAAUUACAUAGAACGAAGAUCAAACGCAACACAAACACUAUAAUAAAAUCUUAUAACUACCCAGUGGUCUACUCAUAACUCACAAGUCAAGCCUAAAAAGCAAUCUACAAGAUCAUUACGUAGGCUUUAAUACAAACUCUAUAACACCCCCUUUUUCAAAAUGGAAAGGAAUGUCACGCACAAAAUAUAAUAAAUACAAUCCAACUACCAUAAAUGCUAAUAUAAACAUAAAUAACUCCAUAUUAACAUAAUCUCUACUUCUAGGAAUGAAUGCCAAAAUAGGCCCAAAACAUCCAUCUACAAAGUAUUAGAAACCCAAGUUUGAUAAUAGUUUCAAAACUAAUCCACUUAUUUGGAUCAAAGGUAGUUCUCAUCCCACAUAUUGUGAUCACCCCUAAUUACCUGCUGGAAAAAGAAUAUAGCGUAAGUCAAUUGCCCAGUACGGAUAUAUAUAUAUGCAAAAUAUACUACAAUAUAUAAUGUAAUCAAAAGAGACGAACGAACGAACUAAUGCAAAUUAUGAACGAAUUAUGUAUAUACAAAAAUUGGAUUCGGUGAGGUAAUGUUAUUUGUUGGUGAAGAAGCUCUUCCUGUAGUUCUCCCACUUUGAUUUGUGGGCAUACCCUUCACGAAUUUUACACCUCCCCAGUAGAGUCGCCAAAGAAAUGUGGGCAAGGAAAUCGUACCUUGGUUUAGGGUUUCGUGUUGGCUGAGGAGGAGAGAAAUCAACGAAAAGUACAAAAUUGAUUGAUUGAUUGAAGAGGAGAAAAGAACAGGUGAAUGAUUACUCCAACGACACGUAGCAGAACUCUUAGAAUCCGAGAACCUUGUUAGGGUAGCAAGGAUUCAGAGAGCCUUCUUGAGUCUUCGAGUUUAAAGAGAAUCUCCAAAUCUCCUAGUCUUCCAAAAGGUCCAAGAGUCCAAAGUGAGGUCCCCUUCCCAAUGGAGUGGAAGGGUAUUUAUAGGGUUUUCUGGAGAGUGGUCAUGUGAUAGGCACAUGCCCUCGGGGAAAUUCCAAAUUUACUUUAGUCAUCAGAGUAAUGCCCAGAUCGUCCUGCCCCUCUAGCCACCAAUCCAAUCCCUCAAUCAAUUCCCAAAAUGAGUCACCUCCACGAGUCUACUGCCUCGGGAUACGUGGAAGCUUAUCUCGGGUCUCACAUUUAUUUCCAACUUUUUUGACUUUUUAUUUAAUUAUAAUAUGAAGCUUAAUUUGUGCAUUUAAUUCAAUUAGGUCAAGUGAACCCUAAUUUGCACGUGGGACCACAUUCUGCAAAAGAAGAAGAAGAAUAUAUUACCCUUACUACAUAUAAAAUCAAUUAAUAAAUUUAUUAUCUAUCUAUUUUAUCUUUAAAUUUAUUAUACAUCGUAUUUACAAGACAAAAUGUUCAUAAUGCAAAUAAUAAUAUAAAUAACUUUGUCAUCUCAAUUAUUGAUUUAAUAAUAUAAAAUAUUAUGACAAUAAUUAAAUCAAUUACGUGAGAUACUAUUGAUGAUUGGGUAAUAUACCCAUAAAUCGGAUAUACUUGUGCUUAAAUAGUAGUAUUCUCGAGUCAUUUAGGAAUAUCUUUACUGUGUUUAUGUGAUGUUUUGCAUAAUCGGGAGCUAUAAGACCGUUUGGGGAUUUUAAGCUAAAAAGGGGCUUUCUGGUAAUUUCCAGCACCUCAGCGUCGGGGUGCUCAACAUGGUUCAUUUCUCAGCGCCGGGGCGCUGGGCCUCGUCUGGUGUUGACCAGGGGCGCGCGCGUGAAUCAAGCGGCUGACUUGCAUUAAAGGCAUUAAAGAGGUGGUUAUGUGACAAAUUGAGUUGGAAAUGGAUUGUGGUUGGACAAGUGAAGUAUAUAAGGAUUAUUUCUAUUGAAGUGGGGGACUAUUCUAGACAAUUGGAGGCUAGUCAAGGAGUCAAAAGGAGCGUUGAAGAUUUUCACUUAGAGUUUUUUUCUUCUUCUUCAAUCUUUCAAUUUGUGUAAUUCAAAAAGGAUGAUUUGCAAAAGAUUGUUGGUUUUAAUUUCGGUCAUGAACUAAUUUCUUUAAUUAAGAUUUCAAUUUAACCUUUUAUGACUAUUAAUUAGUUUUUCAAUUUAUUCCAAUUAUUUAUGUUGAAGUGAAUUGUUUAUCUUGCCUUGCAUUUAUUGAUUAAUUAUUUGGUCAGUAAUUACCUUGUUACUCUAGAAGGAUUUGAAAGAGGAAUUCUAGGGUUAGAACUGGGCAUGGUAACAUACGACUUAGUUAUUUGCAUGGUGAAUAAUUAGGUUUGUGAAUUGAAUGGAAAUAUCUAUUCACCGCAUGUAACACAUAAGGAAUUGGAAUUGAAGGAGUUUAAUUCAAUUGUUUUGCAUAGGAAUAUAGCAAGAUUAAUCUGGAUUAAAUAAAAGUCAAUUGAUCACUUGGAAAAGGGCUUUUGGCAUUUGAGAAUUCUUGUUAACAAUUCGUUAGGCAUAAUAAUUGGGAUAAUUGGAUAAUUGAUUUAUAGUUCAUAAUUGGGGAUAUUGAAGUCUUAAUCCGUAUUUAUCUGAAUUCAUUCAAAUCUUAGUUUUGUUUAAUUUCUUUAUUUUAGAAUAAUCUCUUUUAAUUAUUUAAAUUUAUUUUCUUAAUUAUAAAAAUCAUAUUUUAUGGUUAUUUAAAUAAAAUUGGAUUGAUAUCAUACUAGUAGUUAGAAUUUAUUAAUUAGAAUUCUCUUUGGGAUCGACACUCUAUCUUGUCACUUUAUUACUUAUUGACCGUGUAUACUUGCACGUUUGCUUUGAUUGUGAAAUCAACCAACAAGUUUUUGGCGCCAUUGCCGGUGACUUCUUUAUUAAUAUUAAUUCCAUAUUAGUUAUAAUCAAUUCGGUCUUAAUUUAAACGUUACUUAUUUUUUUCUCUUGUAUUUGCAGGAAUUCUUUGCGAGUGUAUGCACACUAGAUCAAGGGCUAAAAAGGAACUUUUUCCGUUUACAGACGACAUCGAAAGGAAGUUCCGAAAAUUGCGAUUGACUAGUGAGGUUAUACAUUUGGAAGAAGAACUGGCAGACCAGGAAAUACCCGUGAACAUGGCAGGGAACGAAUAGAAAUCACUUAGGGAUUACGCCAUGCCGAAUGUCACGGAUAUAAAGUCGAGUAUUAGGAGGCCGACAAUCAAUGCGAACAGUUUCGAGAUAAAACUGGGAAAAAUUCAGAUGCUACAGAAUACAUGUCAGUUUGGGGGUAAUUCGAUAGACGAUCCUAAUGAGCAUAUCUUGAGUUUCUUGGAAGUUUGCGACACCUUCAAAUUCAACAAUGUAACAGAAGAUGCUGUAAGGUUGAGGAUGUUCCCGUUUACCUUGAAAGAUAAAGCGCGGAGUUGGCAACAUUCUUUGCCUCCUGGCUCAAUCACUACUUGGGAUGACUUAGCCCAAAAAUUUCUAGCGAAAUUCUUCCCACUAGCGAAGUCGGCAAAACUACAGAACGAUAUUCACACCUUUGCACAGUUCGAUUCAGAAUCGUUAUAUAAGGCGUGGGAAAGAUUUAAGGAUAUGCUCCGUAAGUGCCCACAUCACGGAAUUCCACAUUGGAUGCAGUUGGGGAUAUUUUGUGAUGGUUUGCACGCGCCCACAAGAGCCAGUAUUGAUGCAGCAGCAGGGGGAGAAAUCAUGUCUAAGAAUUUUGAUGAGGCAUAUCAACUGUUAGAAACGAUGGCCACCAACAACUAUCAGUGGCCCAUGACUAGGUCGAAUCUUCCGAAAACACCGGGAAAGUUUGAGGUGGAUCCUAUGACAGCAUUAGCAGCACAAGUGGCUGCGAUGGCUAAAAAAAUGGAAACAUGGAGUCCACCAUCCACACAGCAGGUAGCAAUUGUAACACCCCAGUCCCACAUCGAAAGAUAGGAGAAAAAUUUGUCUGCAUAUAAGGAAAUAAGUUACUACCAAUAGUACCUUCAAAGUCAUGACCUUUUGGGAGCCUGUGGUGGACUAAGAUGACCCAAAAAGAUAUUAUUGGGCCAGUAGUUUGAGGCCUUAUUUCGAUGGAUUUGAUUCGAUUCGGACUCUGGAUUUGACCCGGGUUGUUUCAUAUGGUAUCAGAGCCGACUCUCGAAAGCUCGGAUCGGGUCAUCCGAUCGGGUUGCCGAAGGUGGGGACACGAAGGCUGGUGGUAUUAUCCCACAAUAGAGAGAUGGAGGUCCGGAUGUGGGGACACGAAGCCAGCCGAUAUUAUCCCACAAUGGCUAGAGAGACAAAGAUCUUUGGGCCGUGUGUGUGAUCGGUUCUGAUGGGGACGUCAAAAAUUUAAGUGGGGGAGUUUGUAACACCCCAGUCCCACAUCGAAAGAUAUGAGAAAAUUUUGUCUGCAUAUAAGGAAAUAAGUUACUACUAAUAGUACCUUCAAAGUCAUGACCUUUUGGGAGCCUGUGGUGGACUAAGAUGACCCAAGAAAAUACUAUUGGGCCAGUAGUUUGAGGCCCUAUUUUGAUGGAUUUGAUUCGAUUCAGACUCAGGAUUUGACCCGGGUUGUUUCAGCAAUGGUUUGUGAAUUAUGUGUUGGAGGUCAUGCUACAAAGCAAUGUGCCAUAAAUGCGGAAUCAGCUGAGUUCAUAGGGAGCUACAGUCGAUCUACCCAUCCGUAUCCGAAUCGAAACGUAUAUAAUCCAGGUUGGAGAAAUCAUCCAGGAUUUUCAUGAAGUAACAAUCAAGCUCAAGCGCCUAGACAGCAAAACACAUCCGGAUUUCAAAAUCAGCCUCAACAACAACCAGAGAGGAAAUCAAGUUUGGAAGAAGCCUUGGAAAAAUUCAUUAGAGCUUCUGACAAAAGGAACGAUGGGAGCUAUCGUUGAUACUCCUAAAUUAACCUCACUUUUACUUCACAAUUUAUAAUAAUUAGCACAGUAGAAAGUAAGGAUCGAUCCCACAGAGAGUAAAGUUGUUUUAGAAUUAUUCUACUAUUUCAAUAGAAAAUAAAGAUGGGGGUUUUUGAAAAUUAUUUUUAAACUAAGAGAACAAGAAUUAAUGAUGAAAUUAACCAAAUAUGUAAAAACUUCAGUUCUGCAGUUCAGUUUCACCAAGUACAAUAAUCAAUUAAUCAAGUUAUUAAUAUUUUUCCUUCAAUGAAAUUAUUAGCCCUAGAUAACAAUAAGCUCUGCUAUCCGAAAUUCUCCGUAGAUUAUCACUGUAUGAAACAAGCUCUCCACCAGAUUCUAACUAGCAUACAACCUAGAACAAGCUCUCUAGAUUUAAUAUGAUAGAANNNNNNNNNNNNNNNNNNNNNNNNNNNNNNNNNNNNNNNNNNNNNNNNNNNNNNNNNNNNNNNNNNNNNNNNNNNNNNNNNNNNNNNNNNNNNNNNNNNNNNNNNNNNNNNNNNNNNNNNNNNNNNNNNNNNNNNNNNNNNNNNNNNNNNNNNNNNNNNNNNNNNNNNNNNNNNNNNNNNNNNNNNNNNNNNNNNNNNNNNNNNNNNNNNNNNNNNNNNNNNNNNNNNNNNNNNNNNNNNNNNNNNNNNNNNNNNNNNNNNNNNNNNNNNNNNNNNNNNNNNNNNNNNNNNNNNNNNNNNNNNNNNNNNNNNNNNNNNNNNNNNNNNNNNNNNNNNNNNNNNNNNNNNNNNNNNNNNNNNNNNNNNNNNNNNNNNNNNNNNNNNNNNNNNNNNNNNNNNNNNNNNNNNNNNNNNNNNNNNNNNNNNNNNNNNNNNNNNNNNNNNNNNNNNNNNNNNNNNNNNNNNNNNNNNNNNNNNNNNNNNNNNNNNNNNNNNNNNNNNNNNNNNNNNNNNNNNNNNNNNNNNNNNNNNNNNNNNNNNNNNNNNNNNNNNNNNNNNNNNNNNNNNNNNNNNNNNNNAAAUUAAUUAGAUCAAUUAGCAUGCAAUCAAUGAAAACAGAUUAUCAGAAGAAAUUUCACACAAGAAGGAAUAAAUAAUAAUACUCAAUUAAUUAAUUACUUGUAACAAGGAUUCACCUCCCUUUAGAACUGAAUAAAAAGAACUAGCCUGACAUGCUCUUGAGUCUGCACUCCAAUAGAUGAUAGUUGAUAAUUGAAUGAAUAAAACCCUAACUCUCAUCCUCUAUUUAUAGUGCUAGACAAAGUCCUAAAUCAUAUAGGAAGUAGAAAUCCAAAUCCUAAAAGGAAUUAUCAAUUAUAACUAGUUUUCAUAAAGAAAUAGAAUCCAAUUUGGAAAUAAAUCUUAGCCUAAAGGAAAUCCUAAAGCUAAUAGAAAUAUCAAUCCAAUUCCUUGUAGAAGUCUGCAAAAAUCUGCAUUUAGAAAUUUUCCAAAAAUCCAAGAUUUCCCAAUUUUUCCGCUCAAAUUCGCUGGGGCGAAUUUCCAUUUCUUACUGCUACGUCCUUUGGUAAAAUAAGUAUAACUUUUGACCUGGGAGGAAUUACGGGGCCUGCUACCUAUCAAAACGAAGAUAUCGACGAUAUCUACAACUUUCAUUCUUUGAGAAUUGACAGAUUCUGGCUAAAUAAAGGUCGAAAUCAGGCUCCAAGUGACUGAUGUGUAAAUUACAACUUCCAAACUUUGAGGUUCAACAUCUAUCUGGUAAAAAAAUCAUAACUUCUUCAUACGAACUCUGAUUGAGAUGAUUCAAGAUGUUCCGGAAAGCUAAGGAAGAGCUCUAUAAUAAAAUUCAAGUCCCAAGCCAAGACCAUGCAUCCAACGAAAUGCUAAAAAACCCUGCAAUUUUUUCCUUUUUCCUCAUUUCAGCUCCAAUUCUUCCUGAAAUCAUUAAACACCUUAAUAAGCUCAUAUACACAUGAAACAUGCAAUAAAACUAAAUAUAAUGGAAUCAAAAUAAAUGAAUAAUAUGAACUCAUCAAAUUCCCCCACACUUAGCCUUUUACACGUCCUCGUGUAAACCAAAAGUUCAAUUUCCAGAAAAAUUCUAUUCAACCAUCAUGUCAAAAGAUUUCAAGGUACAAAUCAUGAUUAUCAACACUAAAUUUGCAAAAAUCUAAUCAACGCCUUAUCAAUCAACUCACAAUUACCAACCUUACCAUUUCACCAAUGAAUUUCAUUAAAUCAAACUAUAACCACAUAAGUAACUUUCCCAAAAUCAUCAUACUUACUUAACUUAGUUACCAUGGAGCAAAAACCAUGCACACUGACUCACAAUCAAGAACAAAUUUUUCUUGCUUUUUAAGUUUUUUCAUAGAACCUUCUUUUUAGCACAGAUGAAUGUAUUUUCAUGCUUCUUUUUUUCAAAUAUUUUUUUUUCUUUUCUUGACAUGUGCAAUGUCUCCUUUUCUUAGGCUUUUCAGAGUUACCCAUUAGCGAACUUUCCACCAACGACUCCCAAAUCAGAUGAUCUUAGGGCGCUAGGUGUAGAGACACCCCUAAGGCUUACUUAUUCAAGUAACAAAGGCCACAAAAGUUGACUAGCCAAGCUGUUUUUAUCCAUCACACUUUUCAGCGUGAAUAUCGAUGCUUCCCGAGGCUUGGAUACCCAGUUAUUUCGCACAAUGGACAUUGAAGAAAAUUUUCAUUUUUCAUUUUUUCCUUUUUUUUUCUUUUUUUUUUCAUUCAUCAUUAUUUCACAUGGUUCUGCAACAACAUAAGCAAGUUAAACAGUUCUAAGUCAUGAAAUCAGUGCACAUAGACAACUCCACAAAUAACUUAGCCAAAUAAACAUGCUUCUCAUAUUCAAGUACUCAUGUAUCACAAAUUCAAUUCAAAUCAAUUACUAUGGAUCAUGGCUUAGUUGUCAUCAUUCAUUAACAAAUUAAGCAUCAACAGAUUCUGAAUUUUAGCAUCAAUUUUCAAUCUUUGACUUUAACCUUCGAACACAUAAGCAAAUAGAACCAUGGAACCCAAGUUUUUAUUUUUUUUUUUAUCAACUUUCCAUCAAAAUUGGAUUAUUAUUCCUACAUAAAAUAAAACCUAAAUCUUCCCCCCCCACUCAAACCUUACAUUGUCCCCAAUGUAAGAAAAUCAUGCAAAGAAGAAAAUACUACUAGCUAACAUGCAAUAAAAAAAACUAAAAAAGUGAAGGAAUAGAAAAUUCAAAUAUGAGAUCUUGGGUUGCCUCCCAAGCAGCUGCCCUUGUUUAACGUCUUCGGCUAGACGUCAUGUCUCUUUUCUCAACCAGCAUCAAUAAAUUCUAUAACCUUCAUCAUCGGUAGAUUCAACCUUCUUUGUGCCUUCCUCGUGGGCUUAGUUCCGUCAUCCAACAAAAUUUGAUACUUUUCUGAAUAUUUUGGUAACGAGUGUAAGGCAGCCAUAGUUUCCUUCAAUUCCUGAUGCCAUUCUAUCUCAUUUUCAAUGUCCAUGUCCAAACUGUUGGUGAUAGCAACCUCCAAGUUAUCCUUAUGAAGAUGUUCAAAAGUUUCCUGCACUAAGGAGUUAAUCACAUCAAUCUCAAAAACAUGAUUCACAUCACUAGGAUAUCUCAUGGCAUCAUAGAUGUUAAACUGAAUCUUCUCGCCAUCAAAUUCCAUAGUCAAGGUCCCAUUAUGCACAUCGAUCAUGGUUCUUGCCGUUUUCAAGAAUGGUCUUCCUAACAAGAUGUGGGAAGGGUUUGGUGAUGUAUCAUCUUCUAUAUCCACAAUGUAAAAAUUUACAGGAAAUAUUAGUUCAUUCACCUGCACUAAGACAUCUUCAAUUACCCCUCGGGGGUAAGUGUUAGUACGAUCAGCCAAUUGAAUAAUCACACCAGUAUUUUUCAAAGGACCUAGAUUUAAGGAAGCAUAAACAGAUAAAGGCAUAACAUUAAUUGAAGCUCCUAAAUCUAGCAUGGCCUUUUCAAAUAUGGUGUUUCCUAUUUUGCACGAGAUUAUAAACAUUCCUGGAUCAUUACAUUUAGGAGGCAUUUUCCUUUGAAGAACAGCAGAUACAUUUUCCUCGACAGUGACUUUUUCAUUAUUUUGCAAUUUUCUUUUAUUAGUGCAUAAUUCUUUCAAAAACUUUGCAUACCGUGGCACUUGUUUAAUUGCAUCAAGGAGAGGGAUGUUCACUUCUACUUUCCUAAAAGUUUCCAGAAUUUCUUUUUCUUGUUCAUCUUUCUUUGUAGUUUUAGAAUUUCUGGGGGGAAAUGGUAGAGGAAUGUUUUUAAGCUGACAAGGAGAGUGAGAUUUUACCUUGGAUUUUUCGGUUUCCUCCUUAGCUGCUUCCUUUUCAAACUCAACGGUGGCUGAUGGUGUAUCCAUUUGUUUUCCACUCCGCAAAGUUAUAGCACUGACAUUCUCCCUUGGAUUCACUACUAUUUGAGAUGGUAAUUUUCCUGAGCCUUUGGAUUCCAAUAUCCGCACAGUUGUAGCCAGCUGUCCUACUUGGUUCCUCAAAUCUUGAACCGAAGUUUUUGUCUCAUGUUGAAACUGUUGUGUCUGAUUCAUGAACUGUUGUGUUUGUCCCAUGAAUUGUUGUGUCUGUCCCAUGAAUGCUUUGAACAUAUCCUCCAAUGAUGUUCCAGUAGGUGCAGGGACUGCUUGCUUCGGUUGAUAUUGAGGUUGGGCUGGUUGGAAGCCCUGCUGCCUAGGUGGAAAUGUAGAUGGUGCCGCUUGCUUGCUCCCAUAAUUCAGAUUUGGAUGAUCCGUCCAUCCUGGGUUAUACGUGUUUGAGUAUGGAUCAUAUUUUCUCUGAGGUUGUGAUUGAUAAUUUCCCAUUGCAUUAGCUUGUUGCACAGCCUCAUCAUCUUGUAAUGUUGGGCAUUCAUCUGUAUUGUGAUUUGGUUGUAGACAUGUUCCACAAACCUUUGUAAUUGGCCGUUGACCUGUAGCUAAUUGUCUAACCAUAGCAGUUAAUUCAGAAAUUUGUUGACCAUAAUCACACGUGUUUACCUCGCUUACCCUUACUGGUGCAUGAUUUGUUCUAGUUCUAUAUUGUUGCGAGUUUGCUGCCAUGUUUGAAAUUAAAUUCCUUGCAGCCUCUAGGGUCUUGUCAACUAGUGCUCCUCCGCUAGCUACAUCGAUCAUGCUUCUAUCCAUCGGUACCAACCCUUCGUAGAAAUACUGGACCAGGUGUUGUUCAUCUAUUUGAUGCGGUGGACAGCUGGAACAAAGCUUUUUGAAUCUUUCCCAAUACUCGUAUAGUGUCUCCCCGCUGAAUUGUCUAAUCCCAUAGAUCUCCUUCCUUAUGUUGGCUACUCUUGAGGCUGGGAAGUAUCUCUCCAAGAAUAACUGCUUCAUGUCAUUCCAUGAUUGUAUUGAACCUGUGGGUAGGUAAUACAACCAAUCAUUUGCCAAAUCUGCUAGGGAGAAUGUGAAUGCUCUUAACUUGAUUUGCUCUUAGGUGAUUCCGUGUGGUUUCAUAGUGGAGCACACCACAUGAAAUUCUUUCAGAUGUUUGUAGGGGUCCUCACCUGUAAGACCACGAAAAGUAGGCAGUAAAUGGAUUAGUCCCGAUUUAAGUUCAAAUGCAGCAUCUAAAUUAGGAUAUUCAAUGCAUAGAGGUUGUUGAUUUAAAUUAGGAGUUGCCAACUCCCUGAGAGUUCUAUUGUUNNNNNNNNNNNNNNNNNNNNNNNNNNNNNNNNNNNNNNNNNNNNNNNNNNNNNNNNNNNNNNNNNNNNNNNNNNNNNNNNNNNNNNNNNNNNNNNNNNNNNNNNNNNNNNNNNNNNNNNNNNNNNNNNNNNNNNNNNNNNNNNNNNNNNNNNNNNNNNNNNNNNNNNNNNNNNNNNNNNNNNNNNNNNNNNNNNNNNNNNNNNNNNNNNNNNNNNNNNNNNNNNNNNNNNNNNNNNNNNNNNNNNNNNNNNNNNNNNNNNNNNNNNNNNNNNNNNNNNNNNNNNNNNNNNNNNNNNNNNNNNNNNNNNNNNNNNNNNNNNNNNNNNNNNNNNNNNNNNNNNNNNNNNNNNNNNNNNNNNNNNNNNNNNNNNNNNNNNNNNNNNNNNNNNNNNNNNNNNNNNNNNNNNNNNNNNNNNNNNNNNNNNNNNNNNNNNNNNNNNNNNNNNNNNNNNNNNNNNNNNNNNNNNNNNNNNNNNNNNNNNNNNNNNNNNNNNNNNNNNNNNNNNNNNNNNNNNNNNNNNNNNNNNNNNNNNNNNNNNNNNNNNNNNNNNNNNNNNNNNNNNNNNNNNNNNNNNNNNNNNNNNNNNNNNNNNNNNNNNNNNNNNNNNNAAAUUAAUUAGAUCAAUUAGCAUGCAAUCAAUGAAAACAGAUUAUCAGAAGAAAUUUCACACAAGAAGGAAUAAAUAAUAAUACUCAAUUAAUUAAUUACUUGUAACAAGGAUUCACCUCCCUUUAGAACUGAAUAAAAAGAACUAGCCUGACAUGCUCUUGAGUCUGCACUCAAAUAGAUGAUAGUUGAUAAUUUAAUGAAUAAAACCCUGACUCUCAUCCUCUAUUUAUAGUGCUAGACAAAGUCCUAAAUCAUAUAGGAAGUAAAAAUCCAAAUCCUAAAAGGAAUUAUCAAUCAUAACUAGUUUCCAUAAAGAAAUAUAAUCCAAUUUGGAAAUAAAUCUUAGUUUAAAGGAAAUCCUAAAGCUAAUAGAAAUAUCAAUCCAAUUCCUUGUAGAAGUCUGUAAAAAUCUGCAUUUAGAAACUUUCCAAAAAUCCAAGAUUUCCCAAUUUUUCCGCUCAAAUUCGCUAGGGCGAAUUUCCUUUUCCUGCUGCGACGUCUUUUGGUAAAAUGAGCAUAACUUUUGAUCUGAGAGGAGUUACGGUUCCUGCUACCUAUCAAAACGAAGAUAUCGACGAUAUCUACAACUUUCAUUCUUUGAGAAUUGACAGAUUCUGGCUGCAUAAAGGUCGAAAUCAGGCUCAAAGUGACUGAUGUGUAAAUUACAACUUCCAAACUUUGAGGUUCAACAUCUGUCUGGUAAAAAGAUCAUAACUUCUUCAUACGAACUCCGAUUGAGAUGAUUCAAGAUGUUCCGGAAAGCUAAGGAAGAGCUCUAUAAUAAAAUCCAAGUCCUAAGCCAAGACCAUGCAUCCAACGAAAUGCUAAAAAACCCUGCAAUUUUUUUCUUUUUCCUCAUUUCAGCUCCAAUUCUUCCUGAAAUCAUUAAACACCUUAAUAAGCUCAUAUACACAUGAAACAUGCAAUAAAACUAAAUAUAAUGGAAUCAAAAUAAAUGAAUAAUAUGCACUCAUCAAACGAGGAACAAGACAAAAAAGAUGAAUCAAGUAGAGCUGAAUAUGCAAAGCCAAGGUGCGUCGAUAAAGAAUUUGGAAAAUAAAGUGGGGCAAAUAGCACAUGCACUAAAUAACCGACCACUUGGAACACUCCCGAGCGAUACAGAGAAAAACCCGGGCAGAGAUGAGCAUUGUAAGGCUGUAACUCUACGAAGUGGAAAGGAUUUGCAAGAGAUAGUCAAGGAUAGGUAAACAAGAGAUAACGCAUCAAGUGAAAUAGAGGAAGUUGUAGAUACCGGAAAACGUACAGAUGAAACCGUUGCGCAGAAAGAAUCAGAACCAACCAUCACAAUGCCGCCCAUACCGUAUCCGCAGAGGUUUCAGAAAUCCAAGUUGGAUAAGCAGUUUUCAAGAUUCUUGGAUAUUUUCAAAAAACUGCAUAUCAACAUCCCCUUUGCCGAAGCCUUGGAACAAAUGCCGAGUUACGCCAAGUUUAUGAAGGAGGUUUUGUUGAGGAAAAGGAAAUUGGGUGAGUUUGAGACAGUGGCAUUAACCGAAAAGUGCAGUGCAAUUAUAUAGAAUAAGUUACCUCCGAAGCUCAAGGAUCCAGGUAGCUUUAAUAUUCCAUGUGAAAUUGGAAAUCAGUUUUCAGGACGAGCUUUGUGUGAUUUGGGGGCCAGUAUAAAUUUAAUGCCAUUAUCCGUCUACAGCCAGUUUGGACUUCAAGCUCCACGACCGACAAAUAUCAGUUUGCAGUUGGCGGAUCGUUCGGUUACAUAUCCACGAGGUAUUGUUGAGGAUGUUUUAGUCAAAGUGGAUAAAUUCAUCUUCCCUGCGGAUUUCUUUAUCUUAGAUUGUGAAGUAGAUAGCGAAAUUCCAAUUAUUCUUGGACGACCAUUCUUAGCAACUGGAAGAACGUUGAUUGAUGUGCAAAAAAGAGAACUAACAAAGCAAGUUGAGGAUCAGCAGGUCACCUUUAAUGUAUUCAAGUCAAUGUCUUAUCCGAAAGAAAAAAAUGAGUGUAUACGGGUGGAUGUAAUGGAUGAAUUAGUUAAAUCACAAGUUCUGCGAAAAUUAUUCGGAGGACCCGCUUGAAUCCAUUUUUCUCAGGUCAGACGACUGCGGUUUUGAAGAGGACAUUGAGUAUGCCAAAUGGUUAGAUACUCAAUCAUUCGACACCCUUGACAGUUCCAAAACGGAAGGUAAAAAGUUCAAACCCUCGAUAGAAGAGCCACCGGUGUUGGAAUUAAAGCCACUACCAUCUCAUCUGCAGUAUGCUUAUUUGGGAAAAAAUGCCACCUUACCAGUGAUUGUUUUGACAGAAUUAACUGACACACAAAAGGAGAAACUGCUACGGGUUUUGUGAGAGUUCAAAACAGCAAUUGGGUGGACUAUAGCGGAUAUUCGAGGUAUUAGCCCAUCCUUCUGCAUGCACAAGAUUUUAAUGGAAGAGGGGGCAAAACCAACUAUUGAGCAACAAAGAAGGCUAAACCUCAUUAUGAAAGAUGUGGUGAAAAAGGAAAUCAUAAAGUGGUUGGAUGCCGACAUUAUUUACCCAAUCUCGGACAGUUCAUGGGUGAGUCAUGUACAGUGCAUACCAAAGAAAAGGGGUAUGACAGUGGUGAAGAAUGCAGCUAACGAGCUCAUCCCUACUAGAACAGUUACAGGAUGGAGAGUAUGUAUGGACUACUGCAAGCUGAAUAAAGCCACACGCAAGGAUCACUUCCCCUUGCCGUUCAUUGAUCAGAUGUUGGAUAGGCUAGCAGGACAUCAGUUCUAUUGUCUCUUGUAUGGAUAUUCUGGAUACAAUCAAAUUGCCAUAGCCCCAAAGGAUCAAGAGAAAACUACAUUCACAUGCCCAUACGGUACAUUUGUAUUCUGGCGUAUGUCUUUUGGUUUAUGUAAUGCACCGGCAACCUUUCAACGGUGCAUGAUGGAGAUCUUCUCCGAUAUGGUCGAAAAAAAAUUGGAGGUAUUUAUGGAUGACUUUUCUGUGUUUGGUGAUAGUUUCGACUUAUAUUUGAAAAAUCUGAUUUUAGUGUUGAAGCGAUGCGUGGAGACUAACCAGGUCCUUAACUGGGAAAAAUGUCACUUUAUGGUGAAAGAAGGGAUUGUUUUGGGGCAUAAAGUUUCUGCAGCAGAGUUAGAGGUGGACAGAGCUAAGAUUGAGACGAUUGAAAAACUACCGCCUCCAUCAUCGGUAAAAGGAAUUCGAAGUUUCUUGGGACAUGCAGGUUUCUACAGACGCUUCAUUAAAGACUUUUCAAAAAUCUCAAAGCCCUUAUGUUCCUAUUGGAGAAAGAUGUGCCUUUCAAGAUGGAUCAGUCAUGUAUCGCGGCAUUUGAGGUAUUAAAGAAGAAGUUGGUCUCUGCUCCAAUUAUUGUGGCACCCGAUUGGUCUUUUCCGUUCGAAUUGAUGUGCGACGCCAGUGACUACGUAGUGGGAGCAGUGUUGGGACAACGUCACGACAAGAUUUUUCACACUAUCUACUACUCUAGCAAGACGUUGACGGAUGCCCAGUUGAACUACACAACCACUGAAAAAGAGUUACUUGCAGUUGUGUUUGCCUUCGAUAAAUUCAGAGCAUAUCUUAUUGGUACCAAGGUAAUCAUUUACACUUAUCAUUCUGCCAUUAAAUACCUGAUUGAAAAGAAGGAUGUCAAACCGCGGUUAAUAUGGUGGGUAUUGUUGUUACAAGAAUUUGAUUUGGAGAUCCGGGAUAGAAAAGGUACCGAAAAUCAGGUGCCGGAUCAUCUGUCCCGGUUUGAAAAUGCGGAGGUGCAGAAAGAAUACAACAUAUUGAUCAAUGAAAAAUUUUUGGAUGAACAACUUUUUCGAGUAACCACAAUAUUACCAUGGUAUGCAGAUUACGUGAAUUACGUGGUUGCUAAGGUGUUACCACCGAAUUUGACCUCACAAUAACGAAAGAAGUUCCUCCACGAUGUGAAGCAAUACUAUUGGGACGAUCCAUUUCUAUUUAAGUCUUGUGCAGAUCAAAUGAUAAGACGUUGUGUGCCUCAUGAAGAAAUGGACAGCAUAUUAGGCCAUUGCCACUCAUCAGAUUACGGAGGUCAUUAUUCCGGCGAUCGAAUAGCAGCAAAAGUAUUACAAUCGGGAUUUUUUUGGCCUUCUCUAUUCAAGGAUUCUUACCUCUAUGUGCUGAAGUGUGAUCGGUGCCAACGCGUAGGCAACAUCUCCAAGCGCAAUGAAAUGCCACUCAAUACAAUUUUGGAGGUUGAACUGUUCGACGUGUGGGGAAUCGACUUUAUGGGACCUUUCCCAUCCUCUUACAAUAAUUAGUACACUCUGUUGGCGGUAGAUUACAUUUCCAAAUGGGUAGAGGCCGCAACUUUACCUACGAAUGAUGCCAACGUUGUCCUCAGAUUCUUAAAGAAAAAUAUCUUCACACGAUUUGGGACGCCGAGGGCGAUAAUAAAUGAUUAGGGCACUCACUUCUGUAAUACACAGUUCACAAAGUUGCUCACAAAAUAUGGGGUUCGUCAUAAAAUUGCAGCCGCGUAUCAUCCACAAACCAAUGGUCAAGCAGAAGUUUCGAAUCGAGAAGUCAAGAGAAUUCUGGAAAAGGUGGUCAAUCCGUCACGAAAAUAUUGGUCCAUGCAUCUUCACGAUGCCCUUUGGUCAUAUCAAACAGCAUAUAAGAAUCAUAUCGGUAUGUCACCUUAUCGGAUGGUAUACAGAAAAGUGUGUCAUCUCCCGGUUGAACUAGAACACAGUGCAUACUGGGCCAUUCGGAAACUUAAUUUCGAUUUACAAGCAGCUGGUGAGAAAAGGUUACUACAAUUAAAUGAGAUGGACGAAUUUCGAUUCAACACUUAUGAGAACACAUAACUAUACAAGGAGAAAGUCAAAGCCUGGCAUGAUAAGAAAAUUCUUGACCGGACAUUUGAACCAGGCCAACAAGUCCUACUUUUCAACUCACGAUUGCUUUUAUUUCCUGGGAAACUGAAAUCGCGUUGGUCGGGACCUUUCAAGGUUGUAUCUGUCGCGCCACAUGGAAACAUUGAAGUCGAAGAACCGAAUUCAAAGCGUACAUUCAAGGUUAACGGUCAACGACUCAAACACUAUUGGAGUGGAUUCAUCGAACGUCAAUCUACAACCAUGUACCUUUCCGACCCAGCGCUCAACUGAGCAGCACCGAAAAGUCGGGCUAACGACUAUAAACCAAGCGCUACCGGGAGGCAACCCAAAGAGUUUUAGUUUAUUUGGUUUACUUCAUUCAAUUUAUUUGUUAUUUGAAUUUACGUCAUUAUUAGUGUUUUUAGUUGAUAGUUCGUACUCAAACAUAACAUUCUUCAUUACUUUCUUGCUUCCAGGAAACCUGUUCAUUACACAUGGGAUAACAGGAAUGAUAUUCAGUUCCCCGGCGCUCAAUUACAGCACAAAUACAGCGCCCUGACGCUAGGACUCUCCUGAAGUUGCUGCCUCCCAGCGCCCCAGCGCCCAAUAUGAACAUAAAGCCAGCUCCCCGGCGCUAAGUGCUUCUUGAAGUUGCUGCCUACCAGCGCCCCGGCGCUGGGGUCAGUUGACAGAUUCUGAUGGUCAGCGCCCCGGUGCUAUGAUUAGUAUAUAACCCAGCUCCCCGACGCUGGGAUCAGUUAUGACGCAUACCGUUUGAGAUGCAAAAACGUCUCAUUACCCAUAACUCCUACUUCUUUUUACAUUCUAAUUCCUUCACAUCACUUUCACACAUUUUUUUCUAAAUGGCUUCAAAGCGACAACAUGGAGAAGGUUCGGGGACAUCAUCAGCCCAAACCAGAUUUGAUAGCCGCCGGUUUGUGAGUGCCACCGCCCAAGAUCGCUACAAUAAGAUGGCAACCCGCUCUGUCAUCCCCGAACGAGGUUUAAGGCCCGAUCAAUCCAAAGAUGGGGAAAUAGCGGUGAUGAUUGCUGAGAGAAACUGGCUCUCCCUAACCGAACAACCUGACCCUGCAGUGAUUGCAGUCGUUAAAGAAUUCUACUCCAACAUUUCAGAACACCAUCACUAUGGAGUGUUUGUGAGGGGAAAGACAGUGGAAUUCGGAGAAGAGGACAUCAAUGGGUUUUAUCAACUGAAUUUGGAAGAUCUUAACGAUGAGUAUGCCGGUCUUCUGAGUCAAGGCCCAGACUAUGAUAAAAUAAUCCGUGAGCUUUGUCAACCGGGCACCACAUGGACAGUGCAUGAACGUGGCAGCAUGACCUUCCCACAUUCUCACCUCAGUUUAUAUGGGAAGGCGUGGUAUGCCUUUAUAUGCGCCAAACUCAUGCCAUGCACACAUGUGAGUCAUGUCACCAAAGAGAGGGCGGUACUGCUUUAUUCCAUUAUUCAAGGCUUGUAAAUAGAUGUCGGUCAUGUCAUUCAGCAGUCCAUUCUCUGAGCGGCACGACGAGGGACCACAAGAGGUUUACCCCAUCCGUCUCUCAUUUGUAUGUUAUGUGCCAAAUUUGGGGUAAAAUAGAAAUCGGAUGAGAUGAUUCAAACGCCUAUGCCAGUUCUGGACCAUAAGUUGAUAAGCAAGUAUAAAGUGUGGACAGGUGGGGAAAACCACCCAAGGGGAUUGGGUUUCAUAAUUCUCCAAGUUGAAGCUACACAAGCCCCACCACCUCCAGCUCCACCUACUUAUGGCCCAUCCUCAGCAGCUCAUCGUGGUGUGGUUCCUGAAGUUGUCCAAUGGGAAAUAGACGGCUGGUUUUACAACAUGGAGUCCCAGAAUGUAUGCUUGUCUGAACGUCAAGACGUGAUCUAUAAGUACUUGGUUGAUCAGUUUGCUGCCUAAAAUGCUAUGAACGCCCAACUGUACCCGGGUGUUAAUCUCAGCCAGUUCCCCACUGCUCUUAUUCUGCCUGUGUUUCUCCCUUCUGAUCUAGAGAUGAGCGAGGACGAUGAUGCUCCACCCGAGGAAUAAGCUCGUUAGGGAAGUCCUCUGUUUUAUUUUGUCUUAUUUUUCGCAUGAGGACAUUGCUCUAGAUUAGUUUGGGGGUAGUUAAUUUUUAUUUACAGUUUUAGUUUGUUAUUAGUUUGUGGAUUUGGAUUGUUAUUGUUAGUUAAAUAUUGCAUUUAGGAUUGCAUGAUAAUUCCAGCGUUUGAUAGCACGUAUGUUUGGGGCCAAUGAUGAAAUUAAAAUUACAUGAACAAGUCUAGUAAGAAUUGUUGAGCUAGUGAGAUGAUUUUCUUGACAUGAUUUAAAUCUUUAUCUAUUUGACACUGAUAUUAUAAGGAUAGAACGUUUUGAAAAAUGAUCGUGUUGGCUAUGAUAGUUUAAAUGGAUAGAUAAUAGAGUUCUAAAGGAUGAAUGCUAGUGAAAUUAAGGAUCAAUUUGAAUAGCUAGUGAAGACUGAAUUGAGACUUAAACUCAAGUUUGGGGGGAAAAUAUUUGGAGUAUAUAAGCUAUGUUAAAUAAUAAUAAUAAUAAUAAUAAUAAUAAUAAUAAUAAUAAUAAUAAUAAACACCGUGGCAUGCUUGUCUAGUUUUGUGGCCUUUGUUACUUGAGUAAGUAAGCCCGAGGGGAUUGUCUCUACACCUAGCGCCCUAAGGUCUUAAUGGCUUGGGAGUCAUUGGUCGAAAGCUCGUUAAGGUAACACUGAAAAGCCUAAGUGAAUAAGACAAUGCAUAGUCAUGAGAAAAUAAAUAAAUAAAUAAAUAAAAAACAAUAAUAAAGCGGGAAAAGUGCAAAAAGCCCCCGUUAUAAAAAAAAGAAGCAUAAAUAUUCUAUUUUGACCCUUGAAUUUUGGUAAUUGUUUGAUUUCAGUUGAAGCAAGUUUAUUUGAUGAGUUCUCAAGUUUACACUGUAUGAUGCCUACUAAGAAAUUUAUUAUCUUUCAUAUUUUUGCCUUUCAUUGGUUAGCAUGGUUGUUGGUCACACACACACGAUAUCAGUAAUAACAGAUUCAGAUUCAUUGAUUGUUGGGGAUAUUAUUGAUCUGCUCUAACAUGAUGUAUUAGCAUAUUUUUGUGAUUUUUCUGAGGCCUAUGAAUAUAUGUGUGCUAUUCGAUUGCUGGAAUUAAAACAUAUAGAUAGUUUGCAUUUGCAUGGUAGUUAAUUUUUCGUGUUGUUUUGUGUUUUGUUGCUUGAGGACAUGCAACGAUUUAAGUUUAGGGGUAUUUGAUGAUUGGGUAAUAUACCCAUAAAUCGGAUAUACUUGGGCUUAAAUAGUUGUAUUCUCGAGUCAUUUAGGAAUAUCUUUACUGUGUUUAUGUGAUGUUUUGCAUAAUCGGAAGCUAUAGGAGCGUUUGGGGAUUUUAAGCUAAAAAGGGGCAUUCUGGUAAUUUCCAGCACCUCAGCGCCGGGGCGCUCAAUAUAGUUCAUUUCCCAGCACCGGGGCGCUGGGCCUCGGCUGGCGUUGACCAGGGGCGAGCGCGUGAAUCAGACGGCUGACUUGCAUUAAAGGCAUUAAAGAGGUGGUUAUGUGACAAAUUGAGUUAGAAAUGGAUUGUGGUUAGACAAGUGAAGUAUAUAAGGAUUAUUUUUAUUGAAGUAGGGGACUAUUCUAGACAAUUGGAAGCUGAUCAAGGAGUCAAGAGGAGCGUUGAAGAUUUUCACUUAGAGUUUUUUUCUUCUUCUUCAAUCUUUCAAUUUGUGUAAUUCAAAAAGGAUGAUUUGCAAAAGAUUGUUGGUUUUAAUUUCGGUCAUGAACUAAUUUUUUUAAUUAAGAUUUCAAUUGAACCUUUUAUGGAUAUUAAUUAGUUAUUCAAUUUAUUCCAAUUAUUUAUGUUGAAGUGAAUUAUUUAUCUUGCCUUGCAUUUAUUAAUUAAUUAUUUGGCCAGUAAUUACCUUGUUACUCUAUAAGGAGUUGAAAGAGGAAUUUUAGGGUUAGAACUGGGCAUGGUAACAUGUGACUUAGUUAUUUGCAUGGUGAAUAAUUAGGUUUAUGAAUUAAAUGGAAAUAUCUAUUCACCGCAUGUAAUACAUAAGGAAUUAGAAUUGAAGGAGUUUAAUUCAAUUGUUUUGCAUAGGAAUAUAGCAAGAUUAAUCUGGAUUAAAUAAAAAUAAAUUGAUCACUUGGAAAAGGGCUUUUGGCAUUUGAGAAUUCUUGUUAACAAUUCGUUAGGCAUAAUAAUUGGGAUAAUUGGAUAAUUGAUUUAUAGUUCAUAAUUGGGGAUAUUGAAGUCUUAAUCCGUAUUUAUCUGAAUUCAUUUAAAUCUUAGUUUUGUUUAAUUGCUUUAUUUUAGAAUAAUCUCUUUUAAUUGUUUAACUUUAUUUUCUUAAUUAUAAAAAUCACAUUUUAUGGUUGUUUAAAUAAAAUUGGAUUGACACCAUACUAGUAGUUGGAAUUUAUUAAUUAGAAUUCUCUGUGGGAUCGACACUCUAUCUUGUCACUUUAUUACUUGUUGACCGUGUAUACUCGCACGUUUGCUUUGAUUGUGAAAUCAACCAACAACUAUGCAUCAAUUAUUAUGGCAAUAAUUGAAUAAAAAUGAGUGACUUCUCAUGUAAGCAUCAAUAAUCAAUACUGUGUGCUACUAUGCAAUCACGCGUAUUACUGUACUUUUAUCACCGGGUAUUUCAAUAGUUAACGGUAAAAGUUUCGCCGUUAUUUUUAUAAAAAGAUAUUUCUGUCGUUUUCUAACUCCGACAAUAAUUCUGUUAUGGGGUCCACCAAUGAUUGUGUCGUCGUACGAAUAUUCCCUGUUAAAACUAAUAUUCCUUGACCAAUCGAAUAUUUUAUAACAACUUGCUUACUUUUAAAAAUUUAUAAUUAUUACCCACAACUAUAACAUUAUAUCAAAUCCACACCAUAAUAUUCAAAAAUAUAUUUCGAGAAAAAUUAAUCUUUAUUCAUAAAAGUUGGGGUCUUACAACUCUUUUGACUCCCUUUUGAUUUGGAAGCUCGAAAGUCCUUAUGCUCAAUUUCCAUACUUUUAGUUACAUUAGCCACCUGUGAUACGUCUGUAAAUAUAGUGUGGAUGAUCGUUCGACUAUACUCAUACUCCAAAUCCCAUUUGAAAUUUUUUACUUGUUGUGCAAUUGUCCCUGGUAUUGAACCCACAAAAUAGGCCAAUCUAGUAAACCUCACCAUGAAUCAGUAAUAGUCUCAUCCUCCUUCUGCCAAAUGGACACAAACUCCCUAGAGUAUGCAUCCUUAUCAGCGUUUGGGAAGUACUACUGAUAGAAAAUGUCACAAAAAUCACUCCAUAUGAGUGCAUCCAUCUUCCUGCGUAACAUUCAAUGAUUUCCACUAUCACUGAGCAUCAUUCUCUAGCUUAUAAACUGCUAGUCUCACGUUUUGAAUUUUUGAACACCCAAUCACAUAUAUAAAAAAUCUUCUCCAAGUGGGCGAUCCAAUUCUCUGCAUCAAUCGAAGUCGAAGUUGAACGAAAAGAUUUGGGCUUCUUCUUAAUAAACCUCUCCAACAACACAUAUAACGGCUGCACUGGUUGACCCACUUGACCCUCGGGAGGAUCAUUUUGUUCAUGUUUUGGUAUCUCUACAUCAACCCCAUACUAUUUGCAUGAUGACUUCCUUGCACCUUCAAAAUACCUUGCGUAGCCUAUGUCACUGUUUGCAUAAUAGCCUUAUUCACCAUUAUUGCUACCACAGUCGGGGUUAUUGUUGCAUUACCCUGACUCUCAGCGUUUCCACCCUGGUUAACAACCUCAACCUAGGGCUGGCCCUGACCCCUCUUACCUUUAUUACCCUACCUUCUAGCAAUUCUCAAAGAACUACGAGCCAUCUAUAAUACAAAAUCAAACAAAGAAGAACAAACCGAGCAAAACAAAUAAUCGAAGCCAAAAAUUACGUAGAAUGAAGAUCAAACACAACACAAACACUAUAAUAAAAUCUUAUAACUACCUAGUGGUCUACUCAUAACUCACAGGUCAAGCCUAAAAGGCAAUCUACACGAUCAUUACGUAAGCUUUAAUACCAACUCUAUAACACCCCCUUUUUCAAAAGGGAAAGGAAUGUCACACACAAAAUAUAAUAAAUACAAUCCUGCAAUAAACCUCAAAAUAUUUUUAAAUAGAUUGUAUACCAACUACCAUAAAUGCUAAUAUAAACAUAAAUAACUCCAUAUUAACAUAAUCUCUACUUCUAGGAAUGAAUGCCAAAAUAGGCCCAAAACAUCCAUCUACAAAGUAUUAGAAACCCAAGUUUGAUAAUAGUUUCAAAACUAAUCCACUUAUUUGGAUCAAAGGUAGUUCUCAUCCCACAUAUUGUGAUCACCCCUAAUUACCUGCUGAAAGAAGAAUAUAGCGUAAGUCAAUUGCCCGGUACGGAUAUAAAUAUGCAAAAUAUACUACAAUAUAUAAUGUAAUCAAAAGAGACGAACGAACGAACGAAUGCAAAUUAUGAACGAAUUAUGUAUAUACAAAAAUUAAUGAGACCAGGUACAGUAAAACCUCUAUUUAGAAAUAGACUUGGGACCAAACUAUUUGUAUUCUGGUGAGAUCGCUCAGCAUAAAUCUGGAAAACAUUCCACUUUAUUAUUGCGUAGAAUUGAUUCUUGAUUAUUCAAUAGAAUAUCGUAGAAACCUUGAAAGCGUUGUACUCUUUCAUUAUCAAAAUAUUGCGUUGUCUAGAAUAUGAGAAGACUUGUUAUUGAUUAACGAUUUGUUCAGCUAUUUCAAAGUUCACCGAACUUUGGUUUCAUUCUAUCAAAAUAGAUAGUCUGUUUUUGUUGAUUCAUAUACCUUUAUUGUAUGUCUUAACUUGCGGGACAAACUUGUUGCUCACCCUUGCUAUAAAUAAAACAUUUCAGUUAGGAUCGAAGAGGCCAGCGGAUCGAAGAAGAAUAAAGGCAAAGGCAAGAUGCUGGAAUAGUUAAUGAACAAUAUUAUUAUUAUGUCGUAUUGUAAACCCUUUUUGUUUAUCUAAGGGGUAUGUUUAUAAUUUUAAGGUUAGCAAACCUGGGACUUAUGUAUUAACAACAUAUGUUAAUGACUUAUGUAUUUCUAUUUAUAUAUGAAUGGAUAGUUAAAUGAUAUUAUAUUGUGGAUCGUGAACACCAAACUUGAGGGUCAGGUUACCCGGAUUUGGGGGUGUCACAGUUAAACUCUCUAUGUCCGAAUAAAUUAUCAAAAUAAUACAUUUAUAAAUGGUAUUAAUAAAUUAUAGGUUUUUCUUAAUUAUUAUAAUUUUGUAUCAAAUAUAAAGGUUUACCAAAUCAAUAGUUUAUGUAUACACAUUAAUCUUUACAUAGCUAAAUUUAUGUAUACACAUUAAUAUGUACAUAGCUAAUCUAUUAAAUAGUAUGUAGUUGCCAAAUAUUUUAUUAUGCUAAUCUAUUACUCCCUUCGUCCCAUAGUUAUAGGCUGAUUUUCCAUUUUGAGAUGUCCCACUAUAUAAGCUACUUACUAUUUAUAAAAUUUAGUUGGUUCAUUGUUUUACUUUUAUGCCCUUAUAAUAAAUAUUCAAACAUUACUCUUUUUUUGAAGAAACAACAUUCAAUGUCAUUAUUUUUAUCACCACAUUUAAUGUUAUUGUUUUUAUCACCACAUUCAAUGUCAUUAUUUUUAUCACCACAUUCAGACCAGACUGAAGCUGAUCAAAUACCUCAACCAAAACCAAUAAUUAAAUAACCACAAACUGUUAAAAUAGAGAGAAUAAAAAUAAUUGAAGGUGCUUAACAUUAUCCAUGUAUUUGUAUUUGUAUCCGACGGAUAUGCAAUACGAAUGUUAAAUUAAUAACUAAAAAAAUAUUCAUUUAAUCAACUAAUAAUUAAAAACGAUAUAUAAUCAACCAAAUAAAAUAAUAAAAUUAGAUUUAAUAUAUAUAUGAGAAAAAUAUAUAUAUACACAAUUGUGUAGUACACAGUCGUCUAUGACGACAAUUAACCCGUCACUAUAGCUAUUAUAGUUCAUGGUGACGGGUGAAUCAUCGCUAUAGUCCAAAAAUAUCUUUUUCAUAGGUGAUUGCGUACUACACAGCUAUGUAUAUACAUAUAGCCCUAUAUAUAUUUUAUAUCAUAUAUCAUUAAAUCACCUUCAAAUCUAAAUUUCUCUAUCACUCAUACACUCUUAACAACACUACGUUGCAUCAAUGAAGCCACCACGGUUGGAUAAUCCGACGAACAUCUAUUUCGGUGUAAUGAAGUUAAUACCGAAAUGGGUUAAACAAUUUGGAGCUGGAUCAAUGGUUAGGUUUAUGAUUUUCUGUUGAUUUCCAUAACGAUGAAGGCGACAAUGAUAAUUCUGGGUUUAUGGUUGAUGAUUGUGGCGUCAAAUUUUUUGAAUCGAAUAGAGGAUCUGGUGUUGUGUUCGGAUCUAGGGUUAUGUUUCAGAGAAAAGAGCAAUUUUCAAUUUUGGGCAUUAACGUGUGCUUCAUAUGGACGGAGACUUUGGGUGGAUUGGGGUUUUGUGGGUUGCGUUUGUUGUUCAAAACACAAGAAUUUGGAGCAAAAGCAGGACUAAUUUUUCCAUUGUUAUUAUUAUUAUUCUGAUUCAAGCCACAUUAGAGCGACGACGUUGGGUGGAUGUUUCAAGGUGGCGUUGAUGGAGCUGAGCGUAAGUUAGGGUAGUGUUAUAUUAAUGAUUUAAUUUUAAAAGAAUAUUUCUGCUAUUAUAGUUAAUUAAACAAUAAUAUUGUAUUAUAUUUUUUUCCUUUUAAUUUCAUAUAAAAUGAUUUAAAUUCAUUACAAUUUGAGUAUUAAAUUUUUAACACAUCAGCAAUUUCUGCCACAUGUUUGAGUCUUUCCAACACAUCAGCAAUUUGAGUCUUUUACAUGCCACGUGUUUAAGUCACGUCAGCAAUUUCAGUACAAUUUGUAUUGGCAGUACAAUUUGUUAUAAUUGAAAAAAAUUAAUAGUUCAAUCUUCUAAUUAAUAAAAUUGAAAGAUGGAUCACCGAAAUGGAAUAUGACCUAUAAUUUAGGAUACUAAUUCAUAUUUAAAUCAUAUAUUAAUAUUAGUUUGGUUAAAAGGCCCCGCAUGCGGAGGUAUUAAAAAUUGAUGCGAGAAUAUCAGUUGCCUACCAAAAAAUCAUUCUUUUCAAAAAUAGUUGUUGUCAAGGGUGGAUUUAGGAAUUUUUUCCAGUAGAGAUAAAUUUUAAUUAAUUUUUUUGUUGAAAUUAAAUAAAGAAAAUUUGAGUUGAUCGUAAUAUUUUUGUAAAAUACUGUGUAUACUUCAAAUUAAGAAGAUUUUUGUACUUAUAUUUAGAAUGAGUUUAUAAAAAAAUUUGUCUCCUCCAAGUUUAACUUUUCUAUUAAUUUGCUCACUUGAGUUUAUUAAUUUAUAUAUUUGUUAUGUUCUUAUACCAAUAAAAAAAAUCUAACAGGAACAACUGCCUAUGCUGCCCCGAUCUGCCCCUGGUUGUUGUCAUAAUCUUCCUAGCCCAAGGCCUCAUAUAUAACUUGUUACUUAAUUCAUGUAGGUGUAUAUCUCAUUAUCAAGUGUCAAACUAAGAUUAGAUUAGUGGUAUCUUGUUUAAAUGGUAAUAUUAACUUGAUCCAAACUUUAAUUCUUUUCCUAUUGACUAAAAUAUACAACUUAAUUUGUCAUGAUUGUAUCACUCGCCAUCUUAUAAUAAUACAAUUAAAAUUUUACAAUUUAGUCUUCCGAAUUUAUCUAAUGGUUAUCGUAAUCAAAGGCCUUACAUAUCUGCAUAAUAGGCCGUUGAAUUUGAGGGCUAUUUUCAGUGGAAAGUGACUUAAAUGAAAUAAUAAUAAUAAUAAUAAUAAUAAUAAUAAUAAUAAAUUUAGAAUGCCAUGGAAGAGGCACGGAACAUGCCGCAUUGCACUGAUGCGCGCUUACGCGCAGCUGAUCAAACACUAAUUGGUUAUCUAUCGAUCGCGCCAAGGAAAUAUUUUACCAAUAUAUGCAUGGAUAGAAAUGCAAUACUACCCCCAGUUUUAAAUUAAUUGUUCAAUUUUGAUUUUUUAAAUUAAAUUGACUAUUUUUAGAAUUAAUAAUUAAGCAUAUAUAAAUAUAUUUCUAAAAUUAUAAAAAUUGGGAUUAGUAAUAAAUUUUAUAUACUUUCUUUUGGUUAUAAUCUCUUCACCUAUAUUUUAGCAAAAAUAGUAAAAAGAUUAGUUUUAAAAAUGAUCAAUUUGACUUUAAAAAGUCAAAACUGAGCAAUUAAUUUGGAAUGAAGGGAGUAUUUAAUAUAUAAGUCGAUUUAUACAUCUAAAAUUCGAGGUUUGAUGUUUGAUUGAAUCUUAAUGCAUCUUAACAGUUUAUCUCUUAAUGUAUUUUAACAGCCCGUAUUAUUGUAUUAAGAGGUCCUCUGAAUAGUUUAGACUCAUAUUUAUAUAUUAAUUAUUCAGAGGACCAUUUAAUACAAAUAUGUGGGCUCUUAAAAGGUAUUAAAACGUGGACUGUUAAGAUGUAUUAAGAUACAAUCAAACAUUAGUCAUUUCUAUUAACUUUUAGACUUAUAUUUGUAUCUUAACUAUUCAUAGGAUCUCUUAAUAUAAAUAUGUGGACUCUUAAAAUACAUUAAGAGGUGAACUGUUAAGAUACAAUUAAACACCACCUUAACCAUUUCUAUUAUUAACUUUUAUAACUCAAAAUUGCCAUUGAUCAAAUCAUAUAAUUAAUUUUACUUUUAAGUAUUGCAAUUCAACACAAUAAACAACAUCAAAUCAUAAAACAAUUGAAAGUGAUUUAGAUAUUAAUUUCAUUAGUUCCAUAAAUUUCAACAAGUCCUUCACACAUCAAUACAUCAUAAUUCCCAUACCCUCAAAGCAGAGAACAUAGUUACACAAAAGGACCAAGUUGCCUAAGCAAACAAGUCCAAGACUUGAAUUGGAUAAUUACUUAUGGCUCCUUAUUAGACAAAUUAUAACAUGGUUUCAAACAGGAAGACAAAAUUACAGCUACUAGAUGAUUUAUUUGGUAAUGGUCAGUCCAUUAAUUUGAUCAUCUCAUCAACAGUUGCAAGGAUUACAUGUGCAGUUUGUGCACUUGCAGGCAUGCCCUCCUUCAGCUCCAAAACUCAUAUCUGAAUCCUCAGAGGACGACCUGCAAUAUUGGAAGCCAAUUACCACAAAAAUGAACGGAUAAAAAGAUAUGGAUCUUGCACAAAUGAUAUUUCCACAAUAGUUUUUGAUAUUUUCACACGAAAAGUGUCGCUAUAGAUCCUAUAGCGACGAUUUUUACAUCUACAGCGACACUUUGCGUGUGAAAAUAUCAGAAAUUGUUGUGAAAAUAUCGCUUGACAUAUAUAUAUAUAUAUAUAUAUACAUACACACACAUACAUCUUCAUUGGUGCAACCUCAUGAAUGAUGGUUGCAGCUGUGGUUUUCUCAACAUCAGGGUACAUUCCGCAUCUGCAAUCAAAGGUAACCAAAUUUAGACAAAAUAUAAGCAAUGGAAUUUGUUACAUUUAAUUCUUAGAAGUAUAUAUAUUUUACAAUUAGAACUAAUAUUUCUACCUCAAAAUCUAAUUUUCCAACAUAUAUAAUGCAAUACACAGUUGUAUCAUCUAUUUAAAAAUUUUACACCUGCCGUAAAAAUAUCAUUUAUUUACUACUAUAUAUAGACGUUUAUGAUGCCAUUUUUUCAUAAAAUUAAAGGAAAGGUUUACCCUCCGCAGCCGUUGCCGCACUUGCAGUUAGGACCACAGCCGCAGUUUCCUCCACAGCAAGACAUUUUUAAUUUCUUGGAAUGAAAACCAAAGAGAAUGAAUCAGAAAAUUGAGUCAAGCUGGUGAGUUCUUUGUUGAAGCCAUCAGUUCUAUUUAUAAUGCAGGGAAGAGACGGAAGGUGACCGUCCACCGUACACGUGUAUGAUACAUAGCAAAGUUGCAUUAAGUUACUGUUUGGUAAAAAUAUAGUGGACAGA